This 16-nucleotide unclassified non-coding RNA is filed under the name Trypanosoma brucei. Its description in RNAcentral is "partial 3' extremity of the miniexon". Lineage: Eukaryota; Euglenozoa; Kinetoplastea; Trypanosomatida; Trypanosomatidae. RNAcentral also lists the same sequence under 2 other names. The record is from RNAcentral.
UUUCUGUACUAUAUUG